Molecule: Y RNA, 114 nt
Filed under: Propithecus coquereli (Coquerel's sifaka)
Lineage: Eukaryota; Metazoa; Chordata; Mammalia; Primates; Indriidae
Description: Y RNA (ENSPCOG00000003496.1)
Rfam family: Y RNA
About the family: Y RNAs are components of the Ro ribonucleoprotein particle (Ro RNP), in association with Ro60 and La proteins. The Y RNAs and Ro60 and La proteins are well conserved, but the function of the Ro RNP is not known.
Source: Rfam by way of RNAcentral
GGCUGGUAUGAAUAUAGUGAGUUAUCUCACUUGAUUGUUCACAGUAAGUUACAGAUUGAACUCCUCGUUUUACUACUUUCCCCCCUUCUCACUACUGUACUUGACUAGUGUUAA